AAGCACAAUUGCCCGGAAUGCCCGAAAAAGUACACAUCGGAACGACGUCUCAAGCAUCAUAUCGUUGUACACCGCAAUCCGGACGCCUAUAAAUGUCAAAAAUGUGGAUAUUGCUAUCAGAGCCCAGAUAGUCUCCGGAGACACUGGAAGAAAACUCCGAAUUGUGACGAGUUUCCGCCGAAGAUUAAUGUGAAAACAGAGAUUUUGGACCCGGAUUCAUGA
Molecule: unclassified non-coding RNA, 222 nt
Filed under: Caenorhabditis elegans
Lineage: Eukaryota; Metazoa; Nematoda; Chromadorea; Rhabditida; Rhabditidae
Description: Non-coding transcript of protein-coding gene Y53H1A.2c
Source: RNAcentral